RNAcentral lists this ribosomal RNA (811 nucleotides) under uncultured bacterium. RNAcentral describes it as "bacterial SSU rRNA". It matches the Rfam family "Bacterial small subunit ribosomal RNA", at positions 54 to 878 of the family's 1533-position model. The record is from RNAcentral.
CAUGCAAGUCGAACGAGAGAUGAGGAGCUUGCUCUUCAAAUCGAGUGGCGAACGGGUGAGUAACGCGUGAGGAACCUGCCUCAAAGAGGGGGACAACAGUUGGAAACGACUGCUAAUACCGCAUAAGCCCACGGCUCGGCAUCGAGCAGAGGGAAAAGGAGCAAUCCGCUUUGAGAUGGCCUCGCGUCCGAUUAGCUAGUUGGUGAGGUAACGGCCCACCAAGGCGACGAUCGGUAGCCGGACUGAGAGGUUGAACGGCCACAUUGGGACUGAGACACGGCCCAGACUCCUACGGGAGGCAGCAGUGGGGAAUAUUGCACAAUGGGGGAAACCCUGAUGCAGCGACGCCGCGUGGAGGAAGAAGGUCUUCGGAUUGUAAACUCCUGUUGUUGAGGAAGAUAAUGACGGUACUCAACAAGGAAGUGACGGCUAACUACGUGCCAGCAGCCGCGGUAAAACGUAGGUCACAAGCGUUGUCCGGAAUUACUGGGUGUAAAGGGAGCGCAGGCGGGAGAACAAGUUGGAAGUGAAAUCCAUGGGCUCAACCCAUGAACUGCUUUCAAAACUGUUUUUCUUGAGUAGUGCAGAGGUAGGCGGAAUUCCCGGUGUAGCGGUGGAAUGCGUAGAUAUCGGGAGGAACACCAGUGGCGAAGGCGGCCUACUGGGCACCAACUGACGCUGAGGCUCGAAAGUGUGGGUAGCAAACAGGAUUAGAUACCCUGGUAGUCCACACCGUAAACGAUGAUUACUAGGUGUUGGAGGAUUGACCCCUUCAGUGCCGCAGUUAACACAAUAAGUAAUCCACCUGGGG